UAGACAUGCAAGUCAGAGCGAACAGAAGGGAGCUUGCUCCCGGAUGUUAGCGGCGGACGGGUGAGUAACACGUGGGUAACCUGCCUGUAAGACUGGGAUAACUCCGGGAAACCGGAGCUAAUACCGGAUAGUUCCUUGAACCGCAUGGUUCAAGGAUGAAAGACGGUUUCGGCUGUCACUUACAGAUGGACCCGCGGCGCAUUAGCUAGUUGGUGGGGUAAUGGCUCACCAAGGCGACGAUGCGUAGCCGACCUGAGAGGGUGAUCGGCCACACUGGGACUGAGACACGGCCCAGACUCCUACGGGAGGCAGCAGUAGGGAAUCUUCCGCAAUGGACGAAAGUCUGACGGAGCAACGCCGCGUGAGUGAUGAAGGUUUUCGGAUCGUAAAGCUCUGUUGUUAGGGAAGAACAAGUGCGAGAGUAACUGCUCGCACCUUGACGGUACCUAACCAGAAAGCCACGGCUAACUACGUGCCAGCAGCCGCGGUAAUACGUAGGUGGCAAGCGUUGUCCGGAAUUAUUGGGCGUAAAGGGCUCGCAGGCGGUUUCUUAAGUCUGAUGUGAAAGCCCCCGGCUCAACCGGGGAGGGUCAUUGGAAACUGGGAAACUUGAGUGCAGAAGAGGAGAGUGGAAUUCCACGUGUAGCGGUGAAAUGCGUAGAGAUGUGGAGGAACACCAGUGGCGAAGGCGACUCUCUGGUCUGUAACUGACGCUGAGGAGCGAAAGCGUGGGGAGCGAACAGGAUUAGAUACCCUGGUAGUCCACGCCGUAAACGAUGAGUGCUAAGUGGUUAGGGGGUUUCCGCCCCUUAGUGCUGCAGCUAACGCAUUAAGCACUCCGCCUGGGGAGUACGGUCGCAAGACUGAAACUCAAAGGAAUUGACGGGGGCCGCACAAGCGGUGGAGCAUGUGG
This 913-nucleotide ribosomal RNA is filed under the name Bacillus sp. (in: firmicutes). Its description in RNAcentral is "bacterial SSU rRNA". It matches the Rfam family "Bacterial small subunit ribosomal RNA", at positions 50 to 944 of the family's 1533-position model. Lineage: Bacteria; Bacillati; Bacillota; Bacilli; Caryophanales; Bacillaceae. The record is from RNAcentral.